CCGCAACAUUCAGGCUGGAAAACGUGUGGGUCUUGACACAGUGCUGGUUGGUACUUCUCAGAGGGUGAAAGGUGCAGAUUAUGCGUUGGAAAGCAUCCAUAACCUGAGGGAAGCAGCGCCAGAGCUAUGGGAGUCUGAAAUUAAGACAGAAGUUGGCUACCCUGGAAAGGUUCCAAGGGAGACACCUGUCACUGCCUAAGAU
RNAcentral lists this unclassified non-coding RNA (202 nucleotides) under Hevea brasiliensis (rubber tree). The record is from RNAcentral. Lineage: Eukaryota; Viridiplantae; Streptophyta; Magnoliopsida; Malpighiales; Euphorbiaceae.